Molecule: long non-coding RNA, 433 nt
Organism: Pleuronectes platessa (European plaice)
Lineage: Eukaryota; Metazoa; Chordata; Actinopteri; Pleuronectiformes; Pleuronectidae
Exons: 6
Source: RefSeq, a predicted model, not a curated record
CAGUAGUUACAGACAGACCCCUGAGUGCUGCAGCACUGACACACGCCUCAUGGUGCUGCCAUGUGUGAAAGACAUAGAGAAGAAGUCGUUCAAAAGACUCAGUGAAGAAGAAAGCAACCAACUGCAGUGGAGCUGACCUUCAACCUCAAACUGUUCUUCCUCUCCAAGCUUCAUGUCAUCUCGCCUUUAUUUUGAAAAGAUCCCGACGACGUCUACACCACCACCAACUACAGGCGGAAAAAAAAACAGAGCUCCCACCAAUCUGUGCUUCAGGCUAAAGGAGUCUCCCUACAUCCAGUUUCUGUGUUGUGACCUUGAAGACACACUGUUGCUGUGGGUCAACUCCAUCAGAUAAGCCAAGAUGGGGGUCGUGUGAUGGUAUGUGGUGACCCACUCAGCAAGCAGUUGGCCCCCGUUGACGUGCGGCUGCUGG